RNAcentral lists this ribosomal RNA (273 nucleotides) under uncultured prokaryote. Its description in RNAcentral is "partial 16S ribosomal RNA". It matches the Rfam family "Bacterial small subunit ribosomal RNA", at positions 524 to 796 of the family's 1533-position model. The record is from RNAcentral.
UACGAAGGGGGCUAGCGUUGUUCGGAUUUACUGGGCGUAAAGCGCACGUAGGCGGAUCGUUAAGUCGGGGGUGAAAUCCUGGAGCUCAACUCCAGAACUGCCUUCGAUACUGGCGAUCUUGAGUCCGGAAGAGGUGAGUGGAACUCCUAGUGUAGAGGUGGAAUUCGUAGAUAUUAGGAAGAACACCAGUGGCGAAGGCGGCUCACUGGUCCGGUACUGACGCUGAGGUGCGAAAGCGUGGGGAGCAAACAGGAUUAGAAACCCUAGUAGUCC